UGGGGUGUAGCCAAGUGGUAAGGCACCAGGUUUUGAUCCUGGCAUACCGAGGUUCGAAUCCUCGCACCCCAGCCA
This 75-nucleotide transfer RNA is filed under the name Achromatium sp. WMS3. RNAcentral describes it as "tRNA-Gln". It matches the Rfam family "tRNA". Rfam says of the family: Transfer RNA (tRNA) molecules are approximately 80 nucleotides in length. The record is from RNAcentral. Lineage: Bacteria; Pseudomonadati; Pseudomonadota; Gammaproteobacteria; Thiotrichales; Thiotrichaceae.